This 290-nucleotide ribosomal RNA is filed under the name Babesia gibsoni. Its description in RNAcentral is "partial small subunit ribosomal RNA". It matches the Rfam family "Eukaryotic small subunit ribosomal RNA", at positions 515 to 855 of the family's 1831-position model. Lineage: Eukaryota; Apicomplexa; Aconoidasida; Piroplasmida; Babesiidae. The record is from RNAcentral.
UGAUGGUGACGUAAAAUCUCACCAGAGUAACCAUUGGAGGGCAAGUCUGGUGCCAGCAGCCGCGGUAAUUCCAGCUCCAAUAGCGUAUAUUAAACUUGUUGCAGUUAAAAAGCUCGUAGUUGAAUUUCUGCGUUGCCCGACUCGGCUACUUGCCUUGUCUGGUUUCGCUUUUGGGGUUUUCCCCUUUUUACUUUGAGAAAAUUAGAGUGUUUCAAGCAGACUUGUGUCUUGAGAUACUUCACCAUGGAAUAAUAAAGUAGGACUUUGGUUCUAUUUUGUUGGUUUGUGAA